GCAGCACCAGAAACCAGGGCUUGGGUGGUAGGAGGAAGGGGUGCUGGUCUUUCAAUUCUGGAUUUGACUCCAGCUCCACAGCCUCAGCCACCCUAGCCAAUUAUCGUGGGAAC
This 113-nucleotide microRNA precursor is filed under the name Sorex araneus (European shrew). Its description in RNAcentral is "miRNA (ENSSARG00000014948.1)". Lineage: Eukaryota; Metazoa; Chordata; Mammalia; Eulipotyphla; Soricidae. The record is from RNAcentral.